UACGUAGGUGGCAAGCGUUAUCCGGAAUUACUGGGCGUAAAGGGUGUGUAGGCGGGAAGACAAGUCAGAAGUGAAAACUAUGGGCUCAACCCAUAAAGUGCUUUUGAAACUGUUUUUCUUGAGAGUGGGAGAGGUCAAUAGAAUUCCCGGUGUAGCGGUGAAAUGCGUAGAUAUCGGGAGGAAUACCGGUGGCGAAGGCGAUUGACUGGACCAUUACUGACGCUGAGACACGAAAGCGUGGGGAGCAAAC
This 250-nucleotide ribosomal RNA is filed under the name uncultured prokaryote. Its description in RNAcentral is "partial 16S ribosomal RNA". It matches the Rfam family "Bacterial small subunit ribosomal RNA", at positions 524 to 773 of the family's 1533-position model. The record is from RNAcentral.